This is a long non-coding RNA of Monodelphis domestica (gray short-tailed opossum), 687 nucleotides long. RefSeq lists it as uncharacterized. NCBI's taxonomy places the organism in Eukaryota, Metazoa, Chordata, Mammalia, Didelphimorphia, Didelphidae. The record is from RefSeq and is a predicted model, not a curated record.
AAGGAAGUGUAAAAGUCACAUGACAGGAAGCAACGGAGUCAAGAAUAUCAAGAGAUAGCAGAGCAAAGAUUUCCCAGGCCCUAUCCCCUCCCCAGCCCCCUCAGGUGGCCCCGGCAAUUUAAGAAACUAUCAUUAGCUCCUGGGAUGUGAUUUGUGAGAGUUAGUGUGAAGAAAAGACUUUAUAAGACAUGCUUGGUAGCCGUGCCAGGAGACAACAUACAAAUAACACACUUGCAGAAUGAUGAACAAUGAAGAGUAAUAAAGAAUUCAUCAAAUGCUGUGACUAAAUAGACAAAUCUGGAUGUGGGCCAGGGAAACAGUGUGAGCCUACAAACCUUAAACAUAAUAUUUUAAAGAUUUAGAAGACAUAAUUAGAAAAUGGAAUAACAGGAGGAGGUUCCCUUUCUAUCAAAGAUGAAUGCCAGAGAUGCUUCCAUUAGCUGGAGAAAUCAGACUUCUUUCUUCAAGAUCCUUAGCAGGUUAAGGCAGAGAGGAAAAGGCCAUGCAAAAUUCUAAAAGCCUAGAAGGAAGUUUCCAACACACUGAGUAAAUCCUCACCAAAGGAUUUAUGGAACUACACAAUCACACAGGAUAAGAAAGUACAGUGGGAUGCAACCUUUAGAAAUCCUAUGAUAUGGUUAUAGAUCCACUAAAGUAUUGAAGAAUAAAUAUAUGUUAAAGAAUUGA